UACCUGGAUAAAUCCAAUUUGACAUGUCUCUCUUAAUGAUCCAUGGAUCUUCUCCUUGUUCCAACUUGGAGAUUACAUCGGGUUUGGAAACUGGAUGCCCUAUUAAAUGGAAAACACAGAGGAACUGGGAUACACUAUAUUGAAGGAAGAAGAGAGGGUACCGUUCAAGUGUACAAUGAAGCAGUCCAGGUAGCCCUCAACAGAGUAAUGACCUCCAUUUGGGAAGGAGAAAGUUGAACAGAGGGACAGGAGGACAUAGAGAGAAGAGGAUGAUAUGAAGAGACAUGCGGAGAAGAUGGCCAUCUAUAAUCCAAGGAGAGAGCCCUGAAACGGAUCCUUCCCUCACAGCCCUUCGAAGGAACCGAUCCUACUGACAUCUUGAGUUUCGACUUCUAGCCCCCAGAACUGAAAGAACCAUGCCUAACCGUUCUUGAGAUAGUCCUCUUUACAGACCUGUAACUGAUGAUGUCUGCAAGGAAGAUCUGAAAAAUCAGUACAUCAAUUCAUUUAAAUGGUUUCAGGCCAGGUUAUCUACAUAUUACCUAGCAACUCUUUUUAAGUUUUGAUCUUUAUUUUGCCUACCUGUGACCUAACCCAAAUUUUAGCUCUUUUUAACUUUUCCAUUUGAAUAUGUGGAAAACCAAGGAGGAAAUUUAAAAAAUUAAAAAUAAAAGCAACUCACCUGGGACUUCAUCUUUUCUGCUCUC
Molecule: long non-coding RNA, 707 nt
Organism: Myotis lucifugus (little brown bat)
Lineage: Eukaryota; Metazoa; Chordata; Mammalia; Chiroptera; Vespertilionidae
Exons: 3
Source: RefSeq, a predicted model, not a curated record